Molecule: ribosomal RNA, 597 nt
Filed under: Papiliotrema laurentii
Lineage: Eukaryota; Fungi; Basidiomycota; Tremellomycetes; Tremellales; Rhynchogastremaceae
Description: partial large subunit ribosomal RNA
Rfam family: Eukaryotic large subunit ribosomal RNA
Source: RNAcentral
AAACUAACAAGGAUUCCCCUAGUAACGGCGAGUGAACCGGGAAGAGCUCAAAUUUGAAAUCUGGCGUCCUCAGGGCGUCCGAGUUGUAAUCUAUAGAGGCGUUUUCCGUGCCGGACCGUGUCCAAGUUCCUUGGAACAGGAUAUCAAAGAGGGUGACAAUCCCGUACUUGACACGACGACCGGUGCUCUGUGAUACGUCUUCUACGAGUCGAGUUGUUUGGGAAUGCAGCUCAAAAUGGGUGGUGAGUUCCAUCUAAAGCUAAAUAUUGGCGAGAGACCGAUAGCGAACAAGUACCGUGAGGGAAAGAUGAAAAGCACUUUGGAAAGAGAGUUAAACAGUACGUGAAAUUGUUGAAAGGGAAACGAUUGAAGUCAGUCGUGACCGAGAGGCUCAGCCGGUUCUGCCGGUGUAUUCCCCUCGGUCGGGUCAACAUCAGUUUUGUCCGGUGGAUAAGGGCGGUAGGAAGGUGGCACCCUCGGGUGUGUUAUAGCCUGCCGUCGCAUACAUCGGGUGAGACUGAGGAACGCAGCUCGCCUUUAUGGCCGGGGUUCGCCCACGUCCGAGCUUAGAUGUUGACAUAAUGGCUUGUAAACGAC